Molecule: long non-coding RNA, 330 nt
Filed under: Oryza sativa Indica Group (long-grained rice)
Lineage: Eukaryota; Viridiplantae; Streptophyta; Magnoliopsida; Poales; Poaceae
Description: lncRNA OsMH63_04G011090
Source: RNAcentral
UGGCGACGACGAGGGAGGAGUGUGGCACGGCGUCGGUGGGACGGCGGCAGUUGGGGCGCGACCAUCACUCAUAUCCCAGCUAGUGACUACAACGGCACUCUCCUCAGCAAGGGGAGGGGGAGGAUGCAGUGCGAUGUGAGGGCAGAGGCCCUAGCAGUUGCUUGGCCCAUGGGAGGGGGAGGAUUAAUUAUGGAAGACGACGAUAGUGUCAUCAUCGACAAUGCAACCUCCCUCGAGGCGUCGUUUGAAGGGUCAUUUCUUUCUAAACCCUCUUCAGAUGGGCUAUCCUCUAGUUGCGGCAUGCUAGUCAACGCAAGAUGGCCACAAUAG